UACGGAGGGUGCGAGCGUUACCCGGAUUUACUGGGCGUAAAGGGCGUGUAGGCGGUCUUUCAAGUCCGAUGCUAAAGUCUGGGGCUCAACCCCAGGACUGCGUUGGAUACUGUGAGGCUAGACGGUCGGAGGGGGUAGCGGAAUUUCCGGAGUAGCGGUGAAAUGCGCAGAUACCGGAAGGAACGCCAAUAGCGAAGGCAGCUACCUGGACGACUUGUGACGCUGAGGAGCGAAAGCGUGGGGAGCAAACCGG
RNAcentral lists this ribosomal RNA (253 nucleotides) under uncultured bacterium. Its description in RNAcentral is "partial 16S ribosomal RNA". It matches the Rfam family "Bacterial small subunit ribosomal RNA", at positions 524 to 776 of the family's 1533-position model. The record is from RNAcentral.